RNAcentral lists this transfer RNA (68 nucleotides) under Allacta xizangensis. RNAcentral describes it as "tRNA-Ala". The record is from RNAcentral. Lineage: Eukaryota; Metazoa; Arthropoda; Insecta; Blattodea; Pseudophyllodromiidae.
AGGAUUAUAGUUAAUUAUAACAUUUGGGUUGCAUACAAAAAGUGCUGACAAUUAUUCAGCUUAUCUUA